Non-coding RNA from Triticum aestivum (bread wheat), 74 nucleotides. The record is from Rfam. Lineage: Eukaryota; Viridiplantae; Streptophyta; Magnoliopsida; Poales; Poaceae.
GGGCCUGUAGCUCAGAGGAUUAAAGCUCGUGGCUACGAACCACGGUGUCGGGGGUUCGAAUCCCUCCUCGCCCA